AGAUGUUGAUCAUUCUCAGCUAAUUUCCUGCAUUCCAAUCUCCAUCUCAGAAUCCAAAGGAAGUAGAUUCAACCUUUGACAUAUUAUAUCUAUGACGGCAUCCAAGAGUUUCCACAAUGCUGGAUGGUCACUCUCUCUGUGACCCCAGAAAAUAUCACCGGAUAUAGGAAAUAACCAGAUUUUGAAACCAGAGAAAGUGGCAUUUCUUCUGGGACCAUGUGUGAGUGUUUUUGGAGGAGAGGUUGGGCAUAAAUGAUGUAGUGAAUUCUCAUUAA
This is a long non-coding RNA of Peromyscus eremicus (cactus mouse), 275 nucleotides long. RefSeq lists it as uncharacterized. The transcript is spliced from 2 exons. Lineage: Eukaryota; Metazoa; Chordata; Mammalia; Rodentia; Cricetidae. The record is from RefSeq and is a predicted model, not a curated record.